UGAGUGGCGGACGGUGAGGUAACGCGUGGGCAACCUGGCCUGUACAGGGGAUAACACUUAGAAAUAGGUGCUAAUACCGCAUAACGGGGGAAGCCGCAUGGCUUUCCCUGAAAACUCCGGUGGUACAGGAUGGGCCCGCGUCUGAUUAGCCAGUUGGCAGGGUAACGGCCUACCAAAGCGACGAUCAGUAGCCGGCCUGAGAGGGCGGACGGCCACACUGGGACUGAGACACGGCCCAGACUCCUACGGGAGGCAGCAG
RNAcentral lists this ribosomal RNA (259 nucleotides) under uncultured bacterium. RNAcentral describes it as "partial 16S ribosomal RNA". It matches the Rfam family "Bacterial small subunit ribosomal RNA", at positions 92 to 354 of the family's 1533-position model. The record is from RNAcentral.